GCUGGAAAGCUUGGCGAUACAGGGUGAUAGCCCCGUAACCGACGCUUCAUCGAGCGUGAAAUCGAGUAGGGCGGGACACGUGAUAUCCUGUCUGAAUAUGGGGGGACCAUCCUCCAAGGCUAAAUACUCCUGACUGACCGAUAGUGAACCAGUACCGUGAGGGAAAGGCGAAAAGAACCCCUGUGAGGGGAGUGAAAUAGAACCUGAAACCGUGUACGUACAAGCAGUAGGAGCACCUUCGUGGUGUGACUGCGUACCUUUUGUAUAAUGGGUCAGCGACUUAUAUUCAGUGGCAAGGUUAACCGUAUAGGGGAGCCGUAGCGAAAGCGAGUCUUAACUGGGCGCUCAGUCUCUGGAUAUAGACCCGAAACCGGGUGAUCUAGCCAUGGGCAGGUUGAAGGUUGAGUAACAUCAACUGGAGGACCGAACCGACUAAUGUUGAAAAAUUAGCGGAUGACUUGUGGCUAGGGGUGAAAGGCCAAUCAAACUCGGAGAUAGCUGGUUCUCCCCGAAAGCUAUUUAGGUAGCGCCUCGGACGAAUACUACUGGGGGUAGAGCACUGUUAAGGCUAGGGGGUCAUCCCGACUUACCAACCCUUUGCAAACUCCGAAUACCAGUAAGUACUAUCCGGGAGACACACGGCGGGUGCUAACGUCCGUCGUGGAGAGGGAAACAACCCAGACCGCCAGCUAAGGUCCCAAAGUAUUGCUAAGUGGGAAACGAUGUGGGAAGGCUCAGACAGCUAGGAUGUUGGCUUAGAAGCAGCCAUCAUUUAAAGAAAGCGUAAUAGCUCACUAGUCGAGUCGGCCUGCGCGGAAGAUGUAACGGGGCUAAGCAAUACACCGAAGCUGCGGCAAUAUCUUUUAGAUAUUGGGUAGGGGAGCGUUCUGUAAGCCGUUGAAGGUGAAUCGUAAGGUUUGCUGGAGGUAUCAGAAGUGCGAAUGCUGACAUGAGUAACGACAAAGGGGGUGAAAAACCUCCUCGCCGGAAGACCAAGGGUUCCUGUCCAACGUUAAUCGGGGCAGGGUGAGUCGACCCCUAAGGUGAGGCCGAAAGGCGUAAUCGAUGGGAAACGGGUUAAUAUUCCCGUACUUCUGACUAUUGCGAUGGGGGGACGGAGAAGGCUAGGUGGGCCAGGCGACGGUUGUCCUGGUUCAAGUGCGUAGGCUUGAGAGUUAGGUAAAUCCGGCUCUCUCUAAGGCUGAGACACGACGUCGAGCUGCUACGGCAGUGAAGUCAUUGAUGCCAUGCUUCCAGGAAAAGCCUCUAAGCUUCAGAUAGUCAGGAAUCGUACCCCAAACCGACACAGGUGGUCGGGUAGAGAAUACCAAGGCGCUUGAGAGAACUCGGGUGAAGGAACUAGGCAAAAUGGUACCGUAACUUCGGGAGAAGGUACGCUCUUGAUGGUGAAGUCCCUCGCGGAUGGAGCUGACGAGAGUCGCAGAUACCAGGUGGCUGCAACUGUUUAUUAAAAACACAGCACUGUGCAAAAUCGCAAGAUGACGUAUACGGUGUGACGCCUGCCCGGUGCCGGAAGGUUAAUUGAUGGGGUUAGCGCAAGCGAAGCUCUUGAUCGAAGCCCCGGUAAACGGCGGCCGUAACUAUAACGGUCCUAAGGUAGCGAAAUUCCUUGUCGGGUAAGUUCCGACCUGCACGAAUGGCGUAAUGAUGGCCACGCUGUCUCCACCCGAGACUCAGUGAAAUUGAAAUCGCUGUGAAGAUGCAGUGUACCCGCGGCUAGACGGAAAGACCCCGUGAACCUUUACUACAGCUUGGCACUGAACAUUGAACCUACAUGUGUAGGAUAGGUGGGAGGCUAUGAAGACGUGACGCCAGUUGCGUUGGAGCCGUCCUUGAAAUACCACCCUUGUAUGUUUGAUGUUCUAACUUAGACCCAUUAUCUGGGUUGAGGACAGUGCCUGGUGGGUAGUUUGACUGGGGCGGUCUCCUCCCAAAGAGUAACGGAGGAGCACGAAGGUGGGCUAAUCACGGUUGGACAUCGUGAGGUUAGUGCAAUGGCAUAAGCCCGCUUAACUGCGAGAAUGACGGUUCGAGCAGGUGCGAAAGCAGGUCAUAGUGAUCCGGUGGUUCUGUAUGGAAGGGCCAUCGCUCAACGGAUAAAAGGUACUCCGGGGAUAACAGGCUGAUACCGCCCAAGAGUUCAUAUCGACGGCGGUGUUUGGCACCUCGAUGUCGGCUCAUCACAUCCUGGGGCUGAAGUCGGUCCCAAGGGUAUGGCUGUUCGCCAUUUAAAGUGGUACGCGAGCUGGGUUUAGAACGUCGUGAGACAGUUCGGUCCCUAUCUGCCGUGGGCGUUGGAAGAUUGAAGGGGGCUGCUCCUAGUACGAGAGGACCGGAGUGGACGAACCUCUGGUGUUCGGGUUGUGUCGCCAGACGCAUUGCCCGGUAGCUAAGUUCGGAAUUGAUAAGCGCU
This 2434-nucleotide ribosomal RNA is filed under the name Vibrio cholerae. RNAcentral's name for it is "partial 23S ribosomal RNA". It matches the Rfam family "Bacterial large subunit ribosomal RNA", at positions 341 to 2772 of the family's 2925-position model. The record is from RNAcentral. Lineage: Bacteria; Pseudomonadati; Pseudomonadota; Gammaproteobacteria; Vibrionales; Vibrionaceae.